GAGUUUGAUUCUGGCUCAGAUUGAACGCUGGCGGCAUGCUUUACACAUGCAAGUCGAACGGCAGCACGGAAGAGCUUGCUCUUUUGGUGGCGAGUGGCGAACGGGUGAGUAAUACAUCGGAACGUACCGAGUAGUGGGGGAUAACUGUCCGAAAGGAUGGCUAAUACCGCAUAUUCUCUGAGGAGGAAAGCAGGGGACCUUCGGGCCUUGCGCUAUUUGAGCGGCCGAUGUCUGAUUAGCUAGUUGGUGGGGUAAAGGCCUACCAAGGCGACGAUCAGUAGCGGGUCUGAGAGGAUGAUCCGCCACACUGGGACUGAGACACGGCCCAGACUCCUACGGGAGGCAGCAGUGGGGAAUUUUGGACAAUGGGGGGAACCCUGAUCCAGCCAUGCCGCGUGUCUGAAGAAGGCCUUCGGNUUGUAAAGGACUUUUGUCAGGGAAGAAAAGCUUGAGGUUAAUACCCUUGAGUGAUGACGNACUAGANAGC
RNAcentral lists this ribosomal RNA (487 nucleotides) under Neisseria animaloris. RNAcentral describes it as "bacterial SSU rRNA". It matches the Rfam family "Bacterial small subunit ribosomal RNA", at positions 9 to 491 of the family's 1533-position model. Lineage: Bacteria; Pseudomonadati; Pseudomonadota; Betaproteobacteria; Neisseriales; Neisseriaceae. The record is from RNAcentral.